This 378-nucleotide unclassified non-coding RNA is filed under the name uncultured bacterium. RNAcentral describes it as "contains 16S-23S intergenic spacer region". The record is from RNAcentral.
UCCGGUUUGUCACCGGCAGUCUGGCGUGAGUCCCCAACUUAAUGCUGGCAACACGCCACGGGGGUUGCGCUCGUUGCGGGACUUAACCCAACAUCUCACGACACGAGCUGACGACAGCCAUGCAGCAUCUGUGCACGGGCUCCGAAGAGCGACCCUGAUCUCUCAGGAUCUUCCCGUGCAUGUCAAGCCCAGGUAAGGUUCUUCGCGUUGCGUCGAAUUAAACCACAUGCUCCACCGCUUGUGCGGGCCCCCGUCAAUUCCUUUGAGUUUCAGCCUUGCGGCCGUACUCCCCAGGCGGGGCACUUAAUGCGUUAGCUACGGCACGGAUUCCGUGGAAGGAACCCACACCUAGCGCCCACCGUUUACGGCGUGGACUAC